AUGAAGUUUUCUCCAGGCUUCGUGACUGUGGUACUCUUAAUGCUUGGACAAACCCAUGGAGUCUCAGUGACUCAGACGGAAGGCCAAGUGACUCUCUUGGAAGAGGCUUCCCUGACUGUGAACUGCACUUAUUCAGCAUCAGGAUCCCUUACUCUUUUCUGGUAUGUCCAGUAUCCCGGUGAAGGUCUACAGCUCCUCCUGAAAGCCUUGAGGGACAAGGAGAAGAAAAGCAACAAAGGAUUUGAAGCCACUUUUGAUGACAAAUCCAAAUCCUUCCACUUGGAGAAACGCUCAGUGCAAGCCUCAGAUUCAGCUGUGUACUACUGUGCCCUGAGCAAGGGAAACAAAAGCAAACUUUUGUUUGGGACUUUUGGGACUUCAUCAAGAUAA
Lutra lutra (Eurasian river otter) is the source of this 390-nucleotide non-coding RNA. Lineage: Eukaryota; Metazoa; Chordata; Mammalia; Carnivora; Mustelidae. The record is from the annotation of a RefSeq genome assembly.